GAUGAACGCUGGCGGCGUGCCUAAUACAUGCAAGUCGAGCGAAUGGAUUGAGAGCUUGCUCUUAUGAAGUUAGCGGCGGACGGGUGAGUAACACGUGGGUAACCUGCCCAUAAGACUGGGAUAACUCCGGGAAACCGGGGCUAAUACCGGAUAACAUUUUGAACCGCAUGGUUCGAAAUUGAAAGGCAGCUUCGGCUGUCACUUAUGGAUGGACCCGCGUCGCAUUAGCUAGUUGGUGAGGUAACGGCUCACCAAGGCAACGAUGCGUAGCCGACCUGAGAGGGUGAUCGGCCAAACUGGGACUGAGACACGGCCCAGACUCCUACGGGAGGCAGCAGUAGGGAAUCUUCCGCAAUGGACGAAAGUCUGACGGAGCAACGCCGCGUGAGUGAUGAAGGCUUUCGGGUCGUAAAACUCUGUUGUUAGGGUAGAACAAGUGCUAGUUGAAUAAGCUGGCACCUUGACGGUACCUAACCAGAAAGCCACGGCUAACUACGUGCCAGCCGCCGCAGUAA
RNAcentral lists this ribosomal RNA (515 nucleotides) under uncultured bacterium. RNAcentral's name for it is "partial 16S ribosomal RNA". It matches the Rfam family "Bacterial small subunit ribosomal RNA", at positions 28 to 523 of the family's 1533-position model. The record is from RNAcentral.